AACUAUAAUGAGUACAAAACUCAGUAAGCAAACUAGUUUUUCUUAUAGAAAAUACAUACAUACUUAUACAUAAUGCAAUGGAUGAUAUGCCAUGAUCUUUUGGAAAUACUGUAAAAUAAAUUCAAAAAAAUCUCUUUCUGUCACUUUCAAACUUUCUCAUUUUCUUUCGAUGAAAUAUGUAUCCUGCAAUGUGGCACUUUGUGCUGUGCGUGGCACUUUGCACCAUGCGUGGCACUUUGCGGCGCUCUGGCCCUCAAGAGGUGGCCCCCGCAUAGUCUCAAGAGGUGGCCCCCACACAACUUCAAGAGGUGGCCCCCAAUGCAAAAUCUCAUAAAACAGAAAUUCCGUUUGCUAAAAUCCACUUUCUCAUUCAUAGAAAACUCAAUGCAUUUUCGUGCUCAUGCCAAUGAACCAUCACACAUACAUAUGCCCAUGUACAUAAUCACGCCCAUUACAUAACAACACAUCACAUAAACACAUGAGCAGAGACAUAUAAAUCCAUAUUCGUACAUAUCAAAAUAGGACAUCCGCCUUGGCCGUACAGCAGAGCUCUCACCAAGAAACACCUCUUUUCUGACAAAUGCAACGUAAUAUGAUCACGUCCUGCUUAAUAACACAAAGCAUAGAGGCUGCUCUAAUACUUUUCUAACUUAGCCAAAGUUGUUGAAGAUAUAAGUACUUUUAAGUGCUCAGUAAUCUUUAUUAAAUUAGCAUGAUUGGACAUAAUUAAAAAAUGAAAAUUGAAUCAUUAUGAUGAUUGAAUUAGGUAGUUUGAUUGGUGUUAUUUUGUCUAAUUAUCAAGGAGAACAUUCAAUUAUAUACAAUAUGUCCUUCCUAUUUUCUCUUUUAAUUAAAUCAUAAAAAGACUUGCAAUAUUGAUUAUGUAUCUGUUAUGUUGGUUAUUGAAGUGAAUUAUAGUUGUUUUCGUGAUUGUCAAAUAUUGUCUUUGUAACUUAUUUAUUUUUUAUUUAUGAAAUCAAUGGGGAUUUUGCUCUUAUUGAUGGAUGUUGCUGGGUACUAAGAACUGAUGGUCGUAUUAAUUAAUCAGUAUAAGUUAGUUGAAAGUUCAAUGUUCAUGCACUUUUGAGCUACAUAAGGCAAGGAAAAUUGAGUGACUUUAUGUGAUGUAAUGUGACACUAUUCAAUUAAGCAACUCUACUUUUUAGUGAUGGACACAAAUGAAACUAGUGGACUUGCAUUAGCUAGAUGAUAAUUAAAAGGCCAAGAUUAUAUCUUUAACACCCCAGUCCGAAAUCCAAGGGCAAAUAUGUCCACAACUCACAUAUGAUUUAAAUAACUCUUUACAAACAAUAAAAUCCGAGCUUCAAAUACAAAAGCCAGCGGAAUAACUUAAAAAUUUAGCCAAACCAUCUACCAUCUUUAACUUGUCACUCAUCACGAAUCAAUCCUGGAUCUACUAUCCUCAAUUUAAAUCCAUCUUCUCACUCAUCGCGAAUCAAUCCUGACUUCUGGAAACUGAAUCACAAUAAACUAUAACGAGUACAAAACCCAGUAAGCAAACUAGUUUUUUUUAUACCAAAAUACAUCCAUACUUAUACAUAAUGCAAUGGAUGAUAUGCCAUGAUCUUUUGGAAAUAUUGUAAAAUAAAUUCAUAAAAAUCUAUUUCUGUCGCUUUCAAACUUUCUCAUUUUCUUUCGAUGAAAUACAUAUCCUGCAAUGUGGCACUUUGUGCUGUACGUGGUACUAUGCACCAUGCGUGGCACUUUGCUGCGCUCUGGCCCUCAAGAGGUGGCCCCCGCAUAGUCUCAAGAGGUGGCCCCCACACAACUUCAAGAGGUGGCCCCCAAUGCAAAAUCUCAUAAAACAGAAAUUCCGUUUGCUAAAAUCCACUUUCUCAUUCAUAGAAAACUCAAUGCAUUUUCGUGCUCAUGCCAAUGAACCAUCACACAUACAUAUGCCCAUGUACAUAAUCACGCCCAUUACAUAACAACACAUCACAUAAACACAUGAGCAGAGACAUAUAAAUCCAUAUUCGUACAUAUCAAAAUAGGCUUUUCAUACAAGUCAGACAUAUAUAUUAUUUAUUGUGAUUCGUUUUAAAGUCUAGUUCACUUACCUC
RNAcentral lists this long non-coding RNA (2081 nucleotides) under Citrus sinensis (sweet orange). RNAcentral's name for it is "long non-coding RNA (CSIN_LNC005045)". The record is from RNAcentral. Lineage: Eukaryota; Viridiplantae; Streptophyta; Magnoliopsida; Sapindales; Rutaceae.